This 253-nucleotide ribosomal RNA is filed under the name uncultured bacterium. RNAcentral's name for it is "partial 16S ribosomal RNA". It matches the Rfam family "Bacterial small subunit ribosomal RNA", at positions 524 to 776 of the family's 1533-position model. The record is from RNAcentral.
GACGUAGGGCGCAAGCGUUGUCCGGAUUUAUUGGGCGUAAAGAGCUCGUAGGCGGCUCGUUGCGUCGGCUGUGAAAACCCGCAGCUCAACUGUGGGCUUGCAGCCGAUACGGGCGGGCUGGAGUUCGGUAGGGGAGACUGGAAUUCCUGGUGUAGCGGUGAAAUGCGCAGAUAUCAGGAGGAACACCGGUGGCGAAGGCGGGUCUCUGGGCCGAUAUUGACGCUGAGGAGCGAAAGCGUGGGGAGCGAACAGG